RNAcentral lists this small RNA (594 nucleotides) under Pan troglodytes (chimpanzee). Its description in RNAcentral is "processed transcript". Lineage: Eukaryota; Metazoa; Chordata; Mammalia; Primates; Hominidae. The record is from RNAcentral.
GAAACGUGUCAGGAACCAAAUAGUUUAAGAUGAGCAGUUGAGGGGACUGAGAGAGUGAUCCACACAGAACCUGGCUUCUUCGUGCUUCAUCAUAAGUCGUGCUGCCGGCCAGGUUACUUAAGCACCCUUUUAACAAGGAAACCUUGUGGGAGAUCCAGCUGGCCGACUCGAGUUCAGAAACAGGACCACAGAGGUUACACUCUGGGAUCCUGGCCAUGAGGUUGGAUGCCUCACCUUACUGAAAGGAGACACUGGACCUAAAUGGCGCAGCAUGAUUUUGUUCCUGCUUGGCUAAAUUUCUCAACACCACAGUCAGCUAAGGUACUGUUCUCCAUUCCUGUAGUAACUUCUCAAAUACGAGAGGGUUUGGGGGUGGUUUUGGUUGUUUUUUGGUUUCAUUUUGUUUUGAGACAGGGUCUCCCUCUGUCACCCAGGAUGAAGUGCGGUAAUGUGAUCACAGCUCACUGCAGCUUUGGCCUCCUGGGCUCAGGCAAUCCUCCUGACUCAGCUCCCAGAGUAGCUGGGCCUACAGGCUGUGUACCACCACGCCCUGCUAAUUUUUGUUUUUGUUGUUGUUGUUUUAUAGAGAUGGAA